This 253-nucleotide ribosomal RNA is filed under the name uncultured bacterium. RNAcentral describes it as "partial 16S ribosomal RNA". It matches the Rfam family "Bacterial small subunit ribosomal RNA", at positions 524 to 776 of the family's 1533-position model. The record is from RNAcentral.
UACGUAGGUGGCAUGCGUUAUCCGGAAUUAUUGGGCGUAAAGCGCGCGUAGGCGGUUUCUUAAGUCUGAUGUGAAAGCCCACGGCUCAACCGUGGAGGGUCAUUGGAAACUGGGAAACCUGAGUGCAGGAGAGGAAAGUGGAAUUCCAUGUGUAGCGGUGAAAUGCGCAGAGAUAUGGAGGAACACCAGUGGCGAAGGCGACUUUCUGGUCUGUAACUGACGCUGAUGUGCGAAAGCGUGGGGAUCAAACAGG